RNAcentral lists this long non-coding RNA (426 nucleotides) under Mytilus galloprovincialis (Mediterranean mussel). The record is from RNAcentral. Lineage: Eukaryota; Metazoa; Mollusca; Bivalvia; Mytilida; Mytilidae.
UUAAGAUCUAUGUGAGGUCUUGAGAAAAAUAUAAAUUUUACUUCUUUUCUUUAAAAAGAUUUUAACAGCGAUUCCACGUGUCUGUUUGCGUGCUCUCGAACUGAAUGCAAUACUGCCAGCAAUGUUUGCCCUUCUUAUUAUGUGAAACAAUUACACAAUAAAAUUUAGAAUAUUUUUACAUUACACACGUGUCUGUUUGCGUGCUCUAGACUGAAUGCAAUACUGUCAGCAAUGUUUGCCCUUCUUAUUAUGUGAAACAAUUACACCAUAAAAUUUAGAAUAUUUUUACAUUAUACACUAUCAUAAUUUUUAUUUGUUAAUUCAAACAUUUUAAAUGCAUUGUGACUUUAAGUCGUUGUUAUGUAAAAAUAUUAUGUAUCUUUUGAUAUUCUUCAGCAUGACUGAAGGUAUUAAAUAAAUUAUAGC